Long non-coding RNA from Lethenteron reissneri (Far Eastern brook lamprey), 363 nucleotides. RefSeq lists it as uncharacterized. The record is from RefSeq and is a predicted model, not a curated record. Lineage: Eukaryota; Metazoa; Chordata; Hyperoartia; Petromyzontiformes; Petromyzontidae.
GAAAAACCCGAGGACCUGGAGAAUGAUCCACGCAACCAUGGGGAGAACAUGCAAACUCCAAAUAUGUCGGCGUCAGGGUCGGGAUCGAACUCACGACCUCCUCUAUACCAGGGAGCAGAGACUGGCACGUGCUGAGCGGACUUCAGCCGAAGACGUCGUACGACAUCAAGAUCCAGUGGUUUAGCACGGCGGGAGAGAGCGCGUUCAGCAACGUCAUGAUCUGCGAGACGAGAGAUGCUCGUAACCAUCGUGACGACAGAUGAAGAUGAUGAUCAAUAAUGUCAUUUCUGUAUUAUAUUAUCACCAUCACUACCAUGAACAUAAUAAUCGCCACCACCUUUGGCGCCAUCACUUAGAUCCAGA